GGGGUUGUGGCUCAGCCGUAGAGCGCUUGCCUAGCGUGUAUGAGGCCCUGGGUUCGAUCCUCAGCAUCACAU
Non-coding RNA from Ictidomys tridecemlineatus (thirteen-lined ground squirrel), 72 nucleotides. Lineage: Eukaryota; Metazoa; Chordata; Mammalia; Rodentia; Sciuridae. The record is from Rfam.